This 467-nucleotide ribosomal RNA is filed under the name uncultured Alphaproteobacteria bacterium. Its description in RNAcentral is "bacterial SSU rRNA". It matches the Rfam family "Bacterial small subunit ribosomal RNA", at positions 9 to 521 of the family's 1533-position model. Lineage: Bacteria; Pseudomonadati; Pseudomonadota; Alphaproteobacteria. The record is from RNAcentral.
GAGUUUGAUCCUGGCUCAGGACGAACGCUGGCGGCAGGCUUAACACAUGCAAGUCGAACGCGUGUAGCAAUACACGAGUGGCGCACGGGUGAGUAACACGUGGAUAUCUGCCUUUCGGUUCGGAAUAACCCUGGGAAACUAGGGCUAAUACCGAAUGGUUCCUACGGGAUAAAGAUUUAUCGCCAAAAGAUGAGUCCGCGUCCGAUUAGCUAGUUGGCGGGGUAAUGGCCCACCAAGGCGACGAUCGGUAGCUGGUCUGAGAGGACGAUCAGCCACACUGGGACUGAGACACGGCCCAGACUCCUACGGGAGGCAGCAGUGGGGAAUAUUGGACAAUGGGGGCAACCCUGAUCCAGCCAUGCCGCGUGAGUGAUGAAGGCCUUCGGGUUGUAAGCUCUUUGGUCGGGGACGAUGAUGACGGUACCCGCAGAAUAAGCCCCGGCUAACUUCGUGCCAGCAGCCGCGGU